CUUGGUAAUAUCCAUUCAUCUUAUCCUUGAUUGGCCAUGGGGCCAAACACUAUAUGUUAUAUGAAUUGCAUGUCUAGCCCUUUGAAAACCCUGGAGACUUUAUUGCCUUUGUAGAUAUCUUCAGAUGUCUUCAGCAAAUCCUAGCAGACCUUCUCUGCUCACAGUUCUCUCUUAAAAGCCCUGAAAUUUAAUUAUGUCUUGAUUUCAAUUUCAAAAAUCGCUUUUGAAGGAUACUGUCUUAUCCAAAUAAAGCAGUAGGCUGUAUAAUGAGCUUAGUAUGUCUGCAUAGCUGUUUGGCACUAAAAAUUCCUUUCAAAGACAAUGACCACUAUUCUGACUAGGUACUUGUGUCCUGAAUUUCUCCCUCAUCAAAUAGUUCUUGGUAGGUACUAUUAAUAGACCAGUUUAUUUUAAAUGUCUGUGUCCAGCAAGAACAGAACAGUGUUCAAGAAGAGUGAAAUGGAUUAGAUGUUGAGCAUGUCUCUGUAUUCCUUCUUCCUUCUCUUCAUUUGCAUUCUUAAGUACUAGUUCUGUUGGGCAAAGGCUUCUCCAUCUGAAGUGAACAUGGACCCUUCGCUGCUAUGGUAGCGCAGAAUAACAGAAUAGUUGGGGUUGGAAGGGAGCUCUGUAGAUCACCUCAUCCAACCCUCCUUCUCAAGGAGGGUCAGCUAGAGCAGGUUGUCCAAGACCAUGUCCAACUGGGUUUUGAAUAUCUCCAGAGAAGGAGACUCCACAACCUUUCUGGGCAACCUGGUACAGUGCUCAGUCACCCUCACAGUGAAAAAGUGUUUUCUUGUGUUCAGACGGACCUUCCUGUUUCAGUUUGUGCCCAGUGCUUCUCAUCCUGUUACUGGGCACCACUGAGAAGAGUCUGGCCCUGUCCUCUUCACACCUUCCCAUCAGACAACUUACUAUACUGAAUUCUUCUUGGAUAAUGAAUUUUUGAAACAUUUUCAGCAUCACCCUGAGGCAAUAGCAGAAAUUACCUCCUCACCCGGCAUGUAUGACAAAUAACUAAAAUGGCUGGGAUACUACAUGUACCCUGCAAACCUGAAAGGCCUGCACAUUUCUAGCUUCUGAAAUACAAGUGACCACGUGAGUUAAGAGAGCUGCACUGGAGAAUAAGUGUUAUCAUCAUGAUGCACUGUUAAAGUUAUGGAAUAUGUCUUUAGGUAAGGAGGCAUGAACAAAUGAUAUGUGAAAAGCAAAUUGGAGUAACUAUAAGCUCUCCUAAUUCUUCCCUUUCUGCUUUAUUAGUCAUUGUAAACCUUCUGCUACCUAGGUUAUAACCUUGGGACUUUUUUUAUGAUGAGUGUAUUUGGAGUCAAAUUUUGUGUCCCAUAACUUUAACCAUAGCAUAUGUUAUUAAAAAUUAAUUUAAUAGUCCUCUAGGAUCCAACUCUGGAGGUAGCAAACAAGCAUCUCGGUUAUAUAUUGUCUUCAAUUAUUCAUUAAGAGCUAUGGGGAUUUUCUAGAACACAUCUCCAGCAAAGCUCAAAGCUGUUCUCCUAACGCCAGCAACAAAGCUCUGCUACUUAGUUUAACAGAAAUGGACAUGAUUUCCCUGUUGGGUUUCCCUGUUUGAACUGUGUAAUAUUUUAUCGCAUUUAAUAAAGUUUAUUACAAACGUGACUUGGUACA
This is a long non-coding RNA of Apteryx owenii (little spotted kiwi), 1641 nucleotides long. The record is from Ensembl. Lineage: Eukaryota; Metazoa; Chordata; Aves; Apterygiformes; Apterygidae.